Long non-coding RNA from Salvia miltiorrhiza (redroot sage), 961 nucleotides. RefSeq lists it as uncharacterized. The transcript is spliced from 2 exons. The record is from RefSeq and is a predicted model, not a curated record. NCBI's taxonomy places the organism in Eukaryota, Viridiplantae, Streptophyta, Magnoliopsida, Lamiales, Lamiaceae.
CAUUCUUUAUCACUUUUAUACUUUAUUAACUACACACUUAAAACACUAAUCUAUAACUCCUUAAUUCUCGUGCCGAAACCAAACGUGUCAAGAUUCGUAGGAUGGAGGACGUAAUAAAAUAAAUCAUUUUUUUAAUUUUCAAUACACUUAUUUAAUACUCCCUCUGUCCCAAUAAUCUUGUCUCACUUUCCUUUUUGGUUUAUCCCAAUAAUAUUGUCCCAUUUCCUCUUUUGGUAGUAAUUAGAAUAUGUUUAGCAUUCACUUAAUCCAUCUAUAUACCUAUUAACCUACUCUCUCUCUCUCUCCUAAUUAAUCCUCUCACUUGUGAGCUCUCUCUCCUACCCUCUGGACUCUCUCUCUUUGCCAGAAACUGGACGGCCGCCUCCUCAACACCACGGCCGACGCCCCUUGUUCUACCUCCUGCUUCAUCUUCUCCGGCCGAACGGUCGGAGCCAGAGCCACCGCCGCCGCCUGUAGCAGGUAACCCCAUGCGCUGCCUCAACAAGCAACGGACGAGCGUUCGGGACGGGCGAAGUUGAACGCACCUCCAGCUCCGAAAUCGACUCUUUCGAUUGACUUCGGUACCUAUUGGUGAGGAGAAGCCUACCUUCGCGUCGCCUUUCCCUUCUCCCAAGCGCCGCAGCCAACAACAACGAUGCCACUUCUUCUUCACUGAGCCACCUUCCGACGAUGAAUGGGAGAGUGGCUUUUCUGCAGAUCUGAGAAAUUUGAGGUAGAUCUACAGAAAUGUAGUGUUGAAAUUGGGGAGGUGUGAGAUUGCCUUUUCUGUUCUUGUUUUUUUGUAGAAAUUUGUUCUUUCUAUUCUGUUGUUGAAAUUUGUUGAAGAAAUUGUUAGAAUUUGUUGUAGAGGAUAAAGAUUUGUUGAAAUUUGUUGUUCAAAUUUGCAUAAAUCCGUUGUGUUUUUUCUUAUUGCUUUAAUUAGUAUCAUUAAUUUAUUGGA